This 424-nucleotide ribosomal RNA is filed under the name uncultured bacterium. RNAcentral describes it as "partial 16S ribosomal RNA". It matches the Rfam family "Bacterial small subunit ribosomal RNA", at positions 360 to 776 of the family's 1533-position model. The record is from RNAcentral.
AAUAUUGGACAAUGGGGGGAACCCUGAUCCAGCCAUGCCGCUUGGGUGAGGAGGGUCUUCGGAUUGUAAAGCACUUUAAGUUGGGAGGAAGAGUUGUAGGCUAAUACCUUGCAAUUUUGACGGUACCAAAAGAAUAAGCACCGGCUAACUUCGUUCCAGCAGCCGCGGUAAUACGGAGGGUGCAAGCGUUAAUCGGAAUUACUGGGCGUAAAGCGCGCGUAGGUGGUUCGUUAAGUUGGAAGUGAAAGCCCCGGGCUUAACCUGGGAAUUGCUUUCAAAACUGACGAGCUAGAGUACGGUAGAGGGUAGUGGAAUUUCCUGUGUAGCGGUGAAAUGCGUAGAUAUAGGAAGGAACAUCAGUGGCGAAGGCGACUACCUGGACUGAUACUGACACUGAGGUGCGAAAGCGUGGGGAGCAAACAGG